AGAGUAGCCCCUGCUGGCCGCAACUAGAGAAAAGCCCUCGUGCAGCAAUGAAGACCCAACGCAGCCAAAAAUAAAUUAAAAAAAAAAAAAUUCAUUGAGCUAAUGACUUAACCAACUCUGGGUCAAACUACACUCAGACUUCUGGCUAUAUGAGAGAAUAAACACCCUUAUUGUUGCUGCUGUUUGAGUUAUAAAGCAUCACCAGUGAGAGGUUGAGGGAACAAAUGAAUGAAUGACUCUGACCACGAGCAUAAGAAAGCCAGCUCCCCUAGAAUGGAGUUAACGUCUUGUCCUGGAGACUUCAAAAACUGCUUACUGUUUUUAAGAUACACAAGGUGAUAAGACAACAAAGUCUUGAUUAUCUGGAAGUUAGCUUAUUAUGGUUUUCCAGAUAAACUGGGCUUUUAGGCAAAAGCUGCACUUUGCAAGGGAAAAGAAUCUCUUAUUAGGGCUUCAUUUAAAAACAAAGAAUAUUCUUAGAGAUGUUUCAGAGUCAAUACACAUUCAGUCCAAUCUCCUAAAUGUUAGCACGUGUAGUCAUAACUUGGAGACCUGUUAAAAAGCUGACUCCUGGGCCUCACCUGGGGAGAUUCUGAUUCAGUGGGAUGUGGUGGGGUCCUGGAAUCUGCAUUUUAGCCAGCAAUCAGAUGUGGAUGGUCUCAGACCACACUUCAAGAAACCCUAUUCUUUUUUUUUAAUAAAUUUAUUUAUUUUAUUUAUUUA
This is a long non-coding RNA of Aethalodelphis obliquidens (Pacific white-sided dolphin), 723 nucleotides long. RefSeq lists it as uncharacterized. The record is from RefSeq and is a predicted model, not a curated record. The transcript is spliced from 2 exons. Lineage: Eukaryota; Metazoa; Chordata; Mammalia; Artiodactyla; Delphinidae.